UACAGAGGGUGCAAGCGUUAAUCGGAUUUACUGGGCGUAAAGCGUGCGUAGGCGGUUCAUUAAGUCGGUUGUGAAAUCCCUGGGCUUAACCUGGGAACUGCAGUCGAUACUGGUGGACUAGAGUACGGUAGAGGGUGGCGGAACUCCGGGUGUAGCGGUGAAAUGCGUAGAUAUCCGGAAGAACACCGAUGACGAAGGCAACCACCUGGGCCUGUACUGACGCUGAGGUACGAAAGCGUGGGGAGCAAACAGG
This 253-nucleotide ribosomal RNA is filed under the name uncultured prokaryote. RNAcentral's name for it is "partial 16S ribosomal RNA". It matches the Rfam family "Bacterial small subunit ribosomal RNA", at positions 524 to 776 of the family's 1533-position model. The record is from RNAcentral.